CCUACGGGUGGCAGCAGUGAGGAAUAUUGGUCAAUGGACGAGAGUCUGAACCAGCCAAGUAGCGUGAAGGAUGACUGCCCUAUGGGUUGUAAACUUCUUUUAUAAAGGAAUAAAACGAGGCACGUGUGCCUUUUUGCAUGUACUUUAUGAAUAAGGAUCGGCUCACUCCGUGCCAGCAGCCGCGGUAAUACGGAGGAUCCGAGCGUUAUCCGGAUUUAUUUGGUUUAAAGGGAGCGUAGAUGGGGUGUUAAGUCAGUUGUGAAAGUUUGCGGCUCAACCGUAAAAUUGCAAUUGAUACUGGCAGUCUUGAGUACAGUUGAGGUAGGCGGAAUUCGUGGUGUAGCGGUGAAAUGCUUAGAUAUCACGAAGAACCCCGAUUGCGAAGGCAGAUUACUAAACUGUGACUGACAUUGAUGCUCGAAAGUGUGGGUAUCAAACAGGAUUAGAUACCCGGGUAGUC
This 460-nucleotide ribosomal RNA is filed under the name uncultured bacterium. RNAcentral describes it as "partial 16S ribosomal RNA". It matches the Rfam family "Bacterial small subunit ribosomal RNA", at positions 338 to 795 of the family's 1533-position model. The record is from RNAcentral.